UCCCAGACUCCUACGGGAGGCAGCAGUCGGGAAUAUUGCAUAAUGGAGGAAACUCUGAUGCAGUGACACCGCGUAUAGGAAGAAGGUUUUCGGAUUGUAAACUAUUUUAGACAGGGAAGAAAAAAGACAGUACCUGUAGAAUAAGCUCCGGCUAACUACGUGCCAGCAGCCGCGGUAAUACGUAGGGAGCAAGCGUUAUCCGGAAUUAUUGGGUGUAAAGGGUGCGUAGACGGGACAGCAAGUUAGUUGUGAAAGGCCUCGGCUUAACUGAGGAACUGCAACUAAAACUAUUGUUCUUGAGUGCAGGAGAGGAAAGCGGAAUUCCUAGUGUAGCGGUGAAAUGCGUAGAUAUUAGGAGGAACACCAGUGGCGAAGGCGGCCUGCUGGACUGCAACUGACGUUGAGGCUCGAAGGCGUGGGGAGCAAACAGGAUUAGAUACCCCCGUAAAU
Molecule: ribosomal RNA, 450 nt
Filed under: uncultured bacterium
Lineage: Bacteria
Description: bacterial SSU rRNA
Rfam family: Bacterial small subunit ribosomal RNA
Source: RNAcentral